RNAcentral lists this long non-coding RNA (442 nucleotides) under Pan troglodytes (chimpanzee). Its description in RNAcentral is "long non-coding RNA NONPTRT010957". The record is from RNAcentral. Lineage: Eukaryota; Metazoa; Chordata; Mammalia; Primates; Hominidae.
UUGGGCAACUGGAGAACCGCCCCAGGUGUGGUUUCCCAGCCCUCCACUCCGCACCCCACUCACCACCUCACUCCACACAUCUCCUCAUUCCACGCAUCUCCUCACUCCACACAUCUCCUCACUCCACACAUCUCACUCCACACAUCUCACUCCACACAUCUCACUCCACACAUCACCUCACUCCACGCAUCUCACUCCACACAUCUCACUCCACGCAUCUCACUCCACACGUCUCACUCCACACAUCAUACUCCACACAUCUCACUCCACACAUCUCCUCAUUCCACACAUCUCACUCCACACAUCACCUCACUCCACGCAUCUCACUCCACACAUCUCACUCCACACAUCUCACUCCACACAUCACCUCACUCCACGCAUCUCACUCCACACAUCAUACUCCACACAUCUCACUCCACACAUCUCACUCCACACAUCUCAC